GAUGAACGCUGGCGGCGUGCCUAAUACAUGCAAGUCGAGCGAACGGACGAGAAGCUUGCUUCUCUGAUGUUAGCGGCGGACGGGUGAGUGACACGUGGAUAACCUACUUAUAAUACUGGGGUAACUUCGGGAAACCGUAGCUGAUACCGGAUAAUAUUUUGAACCGCAUGGUUCAAAAGUGAAAGACGGUUUUGCUGUCACUUAUAGAUGGAUCCGCGCUGCAUUAGCUAGUUGGUAAGGUAACGGCUUACCAAGGCAACGAUGCAUAGCCGACCUGAGAGGAUGAUCGGCCACACUGGAACUGAGACACGGUCCAGACUCCUACGGGAGGCAGCAGUAGGGAAUCUUCCGCAAUGGGCGAAAGCCUGACGGAGCAACGCCGCGUGAGUGAUGAAGGUCUUCGGAUCGUAAAACUCUGUUAUUAGGAAAGAACAUAUGUGUAAGUAACUGUGCACGUCUUGACGGUACCUAAUCAGAAAGCAACGGCUAACUACGUG
This 497-nucleotide ribosomal RNA is filed under the name uncultured bacterium. RNAcentral describes it as "partial 16S ribosomal RNA". It matches the Rfam family "Bacterial small subunit ribosomal RNA", at positions 28 to 507 of the family's 1533-position model. The record is from RNAcentral.